AAUAGAUACCCAGGUAGUCCACGCCGUAAACGAUGAAUGCUAGCCGUCGGUCAGCAUGCUGUUCGGUGGCGCAGCUAACGCAUUAAGUACCCCGCCUGGGGAGUACGACCGCAAGGUUGAAACUCAAAGGAAUUGACGGGGGCCCGCACAAGCGGUGGAGCAUGUGGUUUAAUUCGACGCAACGCGAAGAACCUUACCUGGGCUUGACAUGCAUGGGAAAGCCUCUGGAAACAGAGGCCCCUCUUCGGAGCUCAUGCACAGGUGCUGCAUGGCUGUCGUCAGCUCGUGUCGUGAGAUGUUGGGUUAAGUCCCGCAACGAGCGCAACCCUUGCCCUUUGUUACCAGCGAGUAAAGUCGGGGACUCUAGGGGACUGCCGGUGCCAAACCGGAGGGAGUGGGGACGACGUCAAGUCAUCAUGGUCCUUACGUCCAGGGCUACACACGUGCUACAAUGGCCGGUACAGAGGGCUGCGAAAGAGCAAUCUGGAGCCAAUCCCCAAAGCCGGCCUCAGUUCGGAUUGUCGU
RNAcentral lists this ribosomal RNA (525 nucleotides) under uncultured bacterium. RNAcentral's name for it is "bacterial SSU rRNA". It matches the Rfam family "Bacterial small subunit ribosomal RNA", at positions 777 to 1304 of the family's 1533-position model. The record is from RNAcentral.